UUGGGACUUCCGCUCUAUACCCUUUGUGACAUACCUACAACUGUUGCUUCGGCGGGUAGGCCGUCCCCUGAAAAGGACGCCUCCCGGCCCGGACCGGACCCCCCGUGGGGCCGGACUCGGCGCCCGCCGGAGGAUAACCAAACGCUAUUUUAACGACGUUUCUUCUGAGUGGCAUAAGCAAAAUAAUCAAAACUUUUAACAACGGAUCUCUUGGUUCUGGCAUCGAUGAAGAACGCAGCGAAAUGCGAUAAGUAAUGUGAAUUGCAGAAUUCAGUGAAUCAUCGAAUCUUUGAACGCACAUUGCGCCCGCCAGCAUUCUGGCGGGCAUGCCUGUUCGAGCGUCAUUUCAACCCUCAAGCUCUGCUUGGUGUUGGGGCUCUACGGUCGACGUAGGCCCUCAAAGGUAGUGGCGGACCCUCCCGGAGCCUCCUUUGCGUAGUAACAUUUCGUCUCGCACUGGGAUCCGGAGGGACUCUUGCCGUAAAACCCCCCAAUUUUUCAAGGUUGACCUCGGAUCAGGUAGGAAUACCCGCUGAACUUAAGCAUAUCAAUAAGCGGAGGAAUUAUUACGGAAUUUCGCUCUUUGCCCUUUGUGAACAUGUUCCGCUGGUUGCUUCGGCGGUAAGGAUCUGAAAAAGAAGACUCGGCCCGGACGAAUCCCGUGGUGCGUUCUCUCUC
Molecule: ribosomal RNA, 678 nt
Filed under: fungal endophyte
Lineage: Eukaryota; Fungi
Description: eukaryotic LSU rRNA
Rfam family: 5.8S ribosomal RNA (bases 191-344)
Source: RNAcentral